AACGCACCUUGCGCUCCUUGGUAUUCCGAGGAGCAUGCCUGUUUGAGUGUCAUUAAAUUCUCAACCCCACCGAUUUGCUUUGGGGGGAUUGGACUUGGAGCGUGCUGGCGAAGGUCGGCUCCUCUUUAAAUGCAUCAGUGGAGAGAAACUCGCCCCAGUGUGAUAAUCCUGUUGCGCUGUGGUGGGCGAAAGUCUGCUUCCAACCGUCCUCCGGGACAUACACCAUCUUAUUUUGACCUCAAAUCAGGUAGGACUACCCGCCGAACUUAA
This 270-nucleotide unclassified non-coding RNA is filed under the name uncultured Amphinema. RNAcentral's name for it is "partial contains 5.8S ribosomal RNA, internal transcribed spacer 2, and large subunit ribosomal RNA". The stretch from base 1 to 52 matches the Rfam family "5.8S ribosomal RNA", at positions 103 to 154 of the family's 154-position model. The record is from RNAcentral. Lineage: Eukaryota; Fungi; Basidiomycota; Agaricomycetes; Atheliales; Atheliaceae.